Molecule: transfer RNA, 66 nt
Filed under: Olophrum piceum
Lineage: Eukaryota; Metazoa; Arthropoda; Insecta; Coleoptera; Staphylinidae
Description: tRNA-Tyr
Rfam family: tRNA
About the family: Transfer RNA (tRNA) molecules are approximately 80 nucleotides in length.
Source: RNAcentral
GGUAAAAUGGCUGAGUUAUUAAGCAAUAAAUUGUAAAUUUAUUCACGAAAUUAAUUUCUUUUACCA